UACGGAGGAUGCGAGCGUUAUCCGGAUUUAUUGGGUUUAAAGGGUGCGUAGGCGGGCUUUUAAGUCAGCGGUAAAAAUUCGGGGCUCAACCCCGUCCGGCCGUUGAAACUGGGGGCCUUGAGUGGGCGGGAAGAAGGCGGAAUGCGUGGUGUAGCGGUGAAAUGCAUAGAUAUCACGCAGAACCCCGAUUGCGAAGGCAGCCUUCCGGCGCCCUACUGACGCUGAGGCACGAAAGUGCGGGGAUCGAACAGG
This 252-nucleotide ribosomal RNA is filed under the name uncultured bacterium. RNAcentral's name for it is "partial 16S ribosomal RNA". It matches the Rfam family "Bacterial small subunit ribosomal RNA", at positions 524 to 776 of the family's 1533-position model. The record is from RNAcentral.